RNAcentral lists this long non-coding RNA (747 nucleotides) under Mytilus galloprovincialis (Mediterranean mussel). The record is from RNAcentral. Lineage: Eukaryota; Metazoa; Mollusca; Bivalvia; Mytilida; Mytilidae.
UGCUUUUAUUUUAAAUCUUACUAGAACACACCCGCGAAAUCGCGGGCAUUCAGAGCGUAGUUUAAAGUAUGUAAAGUGUUGUUGGAAGAAUUUUGUAAAAUACAGAAUGACUGGAGAAUUUCAGCAAAAGUAUCAUAAGUCAUAGGUUAUUGGGGACAGGAAAAUGUUUUUUUUACCCUCCACCUCUAUUUCCAAAGUUCCAAAUUUUUGGUUUUCUAUCAAUUUCAAUAUGAACAUACAUUUAGUAUGUUAUGAACAUUUAUUUAAGUAAGGAGCCUGUAAUUCAGUGGUUGUCGUUUGUUUAUGUGUUACAUAUUUGUUUUUCGUUCAUUUUUUGUACAUAAAUAAGGCCGUUGGUUUUCUCGUUUGCAUUGUUUUACAUUGUCAUUUCGGGCCUUUUGAAGCUGAGUAUGCGGUAGGGCUUUGCUCUUUGUUGAAGGCCGUACGGUGACCUAUAGUUGUUAAUAUCUGUGUCAUUUUGGUCUCUUGUGGAGAGUUGUCUUAACAUGGCAAUCAUACCACAUCUUCUUUUUUUUUAUGUAAUCAAUGAAUUUUGUAAAAGAUUUAAUGACUGGGAGAAUUUCAGAAAAAGUAUCAAAAGUUCACAUGAAUAAUUUUAGCGCUUAUCUGUAUAUUAUGAACAUUCAUUACUUUAAAGCGUAUUUACUUUCAAUUCUAAGUUUACUAAUCGAUCCAUGGUGAUCAUUGAUAUAGUAUACAGACCCUCUCUAUUUAAUAAACUCUGUG